GUUUGAUCCUGGCUCAGAUUGAACGCUGGCGGCAUGCUUUACACAUGCAAGUCGGGCGGCAGCACAGAGAAGCUUGCUUCUUGGGUGGCGAGUGGCGAACGGGUGAGUAACAUAUCGGAACGUACCGAGUAAUGGGGGAUAACUAAUCGAAAGAUUAGCUAAUACCGCAUAUUCUCUGAGGAGGAAAGCAGGGGACCUUCGGGCCUUGCGUUAUUCGAGCGGCCGAUAUCUGAUUAGCUAGUUGGUGGGGUAAAGGCCUACCAAGGCGACGAUCAGUAGCGGGUCUGAGAGGAUGAUCCGCCACACUGGGACUGAGACACGGCCCAGACUCCUACGGGAGGCAGCAGUGGGGAAUUUUGGACAAUGGGCGCAAGCCUGAUCCAGCCAUGCCGCGUGUCUGAUGAAGGCCUUCGGGUUGUAAAGGACUUUUGUCAGGGAAGAAAAGGCUGUUGCUAAUAUCGACAGCUGAUGACGGUACCUGAAGAAUAAGCACCGGCUAACUACGUGCCAGCAGCCGCGGUAAUACGUAGGGUGCGAGCGUUAAUCGGAAUUACUGGGCGUAAAGCGAGCGCAGACGGUUACUUAAGCAGGAUGUGAAAUCCCCGGGCUCAACCUGGGAACUGCGUUCUGAACUGGGUGANUAGAGUGUGUCAGAGGGAGGUAGAAUUCCACGUGUAGCAGUGAAAUGCGUAGAGACGUGGAGGAAUACCGAUGGCGGAGGCAGCCUCCUGGGAUAACACUGACGUUCAUGCUCGAAAGCGUGGGUAGCAAACAGGAUUAGAUACCCUGGUAGUCCACGCCCUAAACGAUGUCAAUUAGCUGUUGGGCAACUUGAUUGCUUAGUAGCGUAGCUAACGCGUGGAAUUGACCGCCUGGGGAGUACGGUCGCAAGAUUAAAACUCAAAGGAAUUGACGGGGACCCGCACAAGCGGUGGAUGAUGUGGAUUAAUUCGAUGCAACGCGAAGAACCUUACCUGGUCUUGACAUGUACGGAAUCCUCCAGAGACGGAGGAGUGCCUUCGGGAGCCGUAACACAGGUGCUGCAUGGCUGUCGUCAGCUCGUGUCGUGAGAUGUUGGGUUAAGUCCCGCAACGAGCGCAACCCUUGUCAUUAGUUGCCAUCAUUUAGUUGGGCACUCUAAUGAGACUGCCGGUGACAAGCCGGAGGAAGGUGGGGAUGAUGUCAAGUCCCCAUGGCCCUUAUGACCAGGGCUUCACACGUCAUACAAUGGUCGGCACAGAGGGUAGCCAAGCCGCGAGGUGGAGCCAAUCUCACAAAACCGAUCGUAGUCCGGAUUGCACUCUGCAACUCGAGUGCAUGAAGUCGGAAUCGCUAGUAAUCGCAGGUCAGCAUACUGCGGUGAAUACGUUCCCGGGUCUUGUACACACCGCCCGUCACACCAUGGGAGUGGGGGAUACCAGAAGUAGGUAGGGUAACCGCAAGGAGCCCGCUUACCACGGUAUGGCCGAUGACUGGGGUGAAGUCGUAACAAGGUAACC
This 1499-nucleotide ribosomal RNA is filed under the name uncultured Neisseria sp. RNAcentral's name for it is "16S ribosomal RNA". It matches the Rfam family "Bacterial small subunit ribosomal RNA". Lineage: Bacteria; Pseudomonadati; Pseudomonadota; Betaproteobacteria; Neisseriales; Neisseriaceae. The record is from RNAcentral.